This 390-nucleotide unclassified non-coding RNA is filed under the name soil metagenome. RNAcentral's name for it is "partial contains 5.8S ribosomal RNA, internal transcribed spacer 2, and large subunit ribosomal RNA". The stretch from base 1 to 122 matches the Rfam family "5.8S ribosomal RNA", at positions 35 to 154 of the family's 154-position model. The record is from RNAcentral.
GAUGAAGAACGCAGCGAAAUGCGAUACUUGGUGUGAAUUGCAGAAUCCCGUGAACCAUCGAGUCUUUGAACGCAAGUUGCGCCCGAAGCCAUUAGGCCGAGGGCACGCCUGCCUGGGCGUCACACGUCGUUGCCCCCCAUCUACUCCUUCGGGAUUGCGGGGGGCGGAUGAUGGCCUCCCGUGCGCCUCGCCGCGCGGUUGGCAUAAAUGCCAAGUCCUCGGCGACGCACGCCACGACAAUCGGUGGUUGCGAAACCUCGGUUGCCCGUCGUGUGCGGUCGUCGCGCAUCGAGGGCUCGAAAAAAUUGCCGGGUUCCGGCUCGGCUUUCAACGCGACCCCAGGUCAGGCGGGGUUACCCGCUGAAUUUAAGCAUAUCAAUAAGCGGAGGA